UUUUAUGGUGGCCAUGCGCAGGGCUCUCUCGGGAGCGCCGGGUUCCUAAUUACCGGUCUACCAACCCGCGUAUGGCCGCCACCCCU
This 86-nucleotide non-coding RNA is filed under the name Pseudomonas sp. IT-196MI5. Lineage: Bacteria; Pseudomonadati; Pseudomonadota; Gammaproteobacteria; Pseudomonadales; Pseudomonadaceae. RNAcentral also lists the same sequence under 1 other name. The record is from RNAcentral.